Molecule: ribosomal RNA, 447 nt
Filed under: uncultured bacterium
Lineage: Bacteria
Description: bacterial SSU rRNA
Rfam family: Bacterial small subunit ribosomal RNA
Source: RNAcentral
CCAGACUCCUACGGGAGGCAGCAGUGGGGAAUAUUGGGCAAUGGGCGCAAGCCUGACCCAGCAAUGCCGCGUGAAGGAAGAAGGCCUUCGGGUUGUAAACUUCUUUUAUCAGGGACGAAGGAUGUGACGGUACCUGAUGAAUAAGCUCCGGCUAACUACGUGCCAGCAGCCGCGGUAAUACGUAGGGAGCAAGCGUUAUCCGGAUUUACUGGGUGUAGAGGGCGCGUAGGCGGGAUGGCAAGUCAGAUGUGAAAGCCAAGGGCUCAACCCGUGAACUGCAUUUGAAACUGUCGUUCUUGAGUACUGGAGAGGUUGGCGGAAUUCCUAGUGUAGCGGUGAAAUGCGUAGAUAUUAGGAGGAACACCAGUGGCGAAGGCGGUCUGCUGGACAGCAACUGACGGUGAGGCGCGAAAGCGUGGGGAGCAAACAGGAUUAGAUACCCGAGUA